Lolium perenne is the source of this 1733-nucleotide non-coding RNA. NCBI's taxonomy places the organism in Eukaryota, Viridiplantae, Streptophyta, Magnoliopsida, Poales, Poaceae. The record is from RefSeq and is a predicted model, not a curated record.
UGUGAUAUUAAUAAGUAUUGAUGAAUUGUGCCAAGUAAUGAGAAGAAAAUCAUAAGCUAUCUCCAUGGGGACUUCUGCAUUUGUUUCCCUAGGCUAUACUCUUACUCACUGUUGCUGGCAUGUAGGUUCAACCAAAAAAAGUGUAAAAUUGCAUUUAUCCUGUAUCAAAUUAAGAUGUCUGAAUUCCAGGGUCGGUGCUGGCCAUGAUGGACGGUUGAACAGAUAAACCAUGGCACCGCUUAGGCAAGGUCGUCAAAUUAGCUGAUAAAUAUGGAUUCCCAACAUAUAUUUUUGAGAAUAUUUGAUACUUAUUAGUCAUUCUUCUGCAUCGAGCAGAAUGCCACCGCUGCCCAGGGCCAUGUGAGUCUUUCUGGGCAUCAAUGUGCUAUAUCGUACAUCCUCCUCUUGCAGCUAUUAAACUGGCUCAUGGUGUCGAUAGCCUUAUAUUGGAAAUUAAGAAUGGCUCUCUAUUUUUGGCGGAACAGGAAGGGAGCAAGCAGGAAACAGUGAGAUCGUUCGGAAUGGUGGUUCUGCAACAAUACAACAUUUCUUUGUCCUAGAUUUGUUAAUGGAAUUGGAAAAGAGAUGUUGGUGUUGUCCCUGUCUAAUAGAUGACACAAUGUACAUGUUGGUCUGGGCUGGAGCAUUGGAGCUCUUGCGCGGCUGCGCCCCAAAGUCGUGCAAAUGGCUUCUACUGUCAUUAUUCUGCAUCGAGCAGAAUGCCACCGCUGCCCAGGACCAUGUGAGUCAUUCUGGGCAUCAAUGUGCUAUAUCGUAGAUCCUCCUCUUGCAGCUAUUAAACUGGCUCAUGGUGUCGAUAGCCUUAUAUUGGAGAUUAAGAAUGGCUCUCUAUUUUUGGCGGAACAGGAAGGGAGCAAGCAGGAAACAGUGAGAACUUUCGGAAUGGUGGUUCUGCAACAAUACAGCAUUUCUUUGUCCUAGAUUUGUUAAUGGAAUUGGAAAAGAGAUGUUGGUGUUGUCCCUGUCUAAUAGAUGACACAUUGUACAGGUUGGUCUGGGCUGGAGCAUUGGAGCUCUUGCGCGGCUGCGCCCCAAAGUCGUGCAAAUGGCUUCUACUGAAUAUUGCAAAUUGGGAGCUAUUCACAAGUCUUAUUUAUUCUGGUAUGGAGGUGUUAACCGCACACCACCAUUAGCAGGUCAAGUAACUCUCUGAACUUAUGUCAUUAGUACUGGAUUGGGUCUUUUAUUUUCCGUCACUGCCUGUCACGUCACAUCCUCACCAUCUCUGCACAGCACCUGCAGUACGCCACUCGCUAGCCUUUCCACGAUGACAGCGACAUCGGCUGUAUCUUGGAUGGGUUUUCUGCUAUCCUCACCUCAUGAGGCCAUUAACUAGCUUGAUGAGGCGGGCAUCAGCCGAAGGUUGGAGCCAACAGAGCCAACAUUAGGUGCUAUGGCGUGGCCUUCUUCUCUUCUCAGGAAAUCAAGUUUUUGCGAACGGAACAUAGCUUGCUUACUCUCAAACACGUGUAGAGUUUCCCCUCUUUCAUUCUAUGGCUGAUCGCUGGCAAAGCUCUGAAAUCAUUUGGAUUGUGGUUAUUCAAGCUAUGGUACCAGGAAGGAUUUGAGGUGGUAGAAAUGGCAGGACCACGAUUGUCGCAAAAAUGGUGAGAUAAGGCCAGCAAUCUGCUCUGUUCUCAACAGUGUCUUUGAGUACCUGCCAAAUGGGUCUCUUUACGAGCAUCUUCAAGGUAAGAUGGGAACCAUCGUGC